UACCACCCUUUAAUGGCUGGUGUUCUAACGUGGGCCCGUGAUCCGGGUUGCGGACAGUGUCUGGUGGGUAGUUUGACUGGGGCGGUCUCCUCCUAAAGAGUAACGGAGGAGCACGAAGGUCAGCUAAUCCUGGUCGGACAUCAGGAGGUUAGUGCAAUGGCAUAAGCUGGCUUGACUGCGAGCGUGACGGCGCGAGCAGGUGCGAAAGCAGGUCAUAGUGAUCCGGUGGUUCUGAAUGGAAGGGCCAUCGCUCAACGGAUAAAAGGUACUCCGGGGAUAACAGGCUGAUACCGCCCAAGAGUUCAUAUCGACGGCGGUGUUUGGCACCUCGAUGUCGGCUCAUCACAUCCUGGGGCUGAAGUAGGUCCCAAGGGUAUGGCUGUUCGCCAUUUAAAGUGGUACGCGAGCUGGGUUUAGAACGUCGUGAGACAGUUCGGUCCCUAUCUGCCGUGGGCGCUGGAGAAUUGAGGGGGGCUGCUCCUAGUACGAGAGGACCGGAGUGGACGCAUCACUGGUGUUCGGGUUGUCAUGCCAAUGGCAUUGCCCGGUAGCUAAAUGCGGAAGAGAUAAGUGCUGAAAGCAUCUAAGCACGAAACUUGCC
Molecule: ribosomal RNA, 601 nt
Filed under: Klebsiella oxytoca
Lineage: Bacteria; Pseudomonadati; Pseudomonadota; Gammaproteobacteria; Enterobacterales; Enterobacteriaceae
Description: partial 23S ribosomal RNA
Rfam family: Bacterial large subunit ribosomal RNA
Source: RNAcentral